Molecule: non-coding RNA, 445 nt
Organism: Colossoma macropomum (tambaqui)
Lineage: Eukaryota; Metazoa; Chordata; Actinopteri; Characiformes; Serrasalmidae
Source: the annotation of a RefSeq genome assembly
GUUUUGCAUGAUCACAGCUCCACACACUUUAAGAGUGCUGGUGUGAUCAACACUGGAGACUUCAGUCCUUUCAGACUCACUCACACACAGCACAAUGAUGACCACACUGAUUCUAUUGCUGACCACACUGACCUUCUUUCCUCAAGUUUCCCAUCAAGAGGUUCAGUCUCCUGAGUUUCUGUCUGCUGAAGCAGGAAAGAGUGUCUCCAUUAGCUGUACUGGAACUAGUGGAGUUGGUGAUGAUAUGAGUUGGUACCUGCAGAAACCUGGAGAAGCUCCUAAACUCCUGAUUUAUACAGCGAGCACACGUCAGUCUGGAGUCCCAGAACGAUUCAGUGGUUCAUAUUCAGGGCUUAACUUUCAAUUUACCAUCAGUGGAGUCCAGCCUGAGGAUGCAGGAGAUUAUUACUGUAUGGGAUUUUAUGUAGGAAGGUUCACACAGUAA